UACGUAGGGGGCGAGCGUUGUCCGGAAUCAUUGGGCGUAAAGAGCGCGUAGGCGGCCCGACAAGUCCGCUGUGAAAGUCAGGGGCUCAACCCUUGAAUGCCGGUGGAUACUGUCGGGCUAGAGUCCGGAAGAGGCGAGUGGAAUUCCUGGUGUAGCGGUGAAAUGCGCAGAUAUCAGGAGGAACACCGAUGGCGAAGGCAGCUCGCUGGGACGGUACUGACGCUGAGGCGCGAAAGCGUGGAGAGCAAACAGG
This 253-nucleotide ribosomal RNA is filed under the name uncultured bacterium. RNAcentral's name for it is "partial 16S ribosomal RNA". It matches the Rfam family "Bacterial small subunit ribosomal RNA", at positions 524 to 776 of the family's 1533-position model. The record is from RNAcentral.